Molecule: long non-coding RNA, 27308 nt
Filed under: Populus tremula
Lineage: Eukaryota; Viridiplantae; Streptophyta; Magnoliopsida; Malpighiales; Salicaceae
Description: long non-coding RNA (PTRE_LNC002645)
Source: RNAcentral
UGUGCCCCUUCUUCAUGUGGCAAUCAUACUAUUAGCUACCCCUUUAGCCUAAACAGUAGUGAUCCAUUAAACUGUGGAAACCCUCUCUAUACCCUCCACUGCGAGAAAAACACCUCCACAUUUUUGCAUUUAGACUCACGAAAAUACUACGUGCAGGCAAUCAACUACAACAACUUGACAAUCCGAGUGGUUGAUGCUGGUGUUACACAAAAUGAUUGCUCUUCUCUUCCUCAUUUUUCUUUAGCAUUUGAUAGCCUAGGCAAUUCCAGAAGGGCAUUUAAUACAUUUACUUUAACAUUUGAUAGCUUAGAUUAUAUGAGAUUUCCAUAUACAUGGUUUCAAUACAAAAGGACAGGGCCGAAAUGGUUUCCCAAAUACAAGCCUCUCCCGUUAUCGCAGAAGAUGAUUUUUAUAAACUGUGCAAAUCCAGUGAAUUCUCCGCUGUACAUAGAAACCGGUACUUGCCUUAAUGGAGUAUUGUUUUGGAGUGUCCAAAGUUGUUUUUCAAAAUAGUUUUUUUUAGAAAAUACAUUAAAAUAAUAUUUUUUAUUUUUAAAAUAUUAUUUUUAAUAUCAAUAUAUUAAAAUAUCUAAACAUAUAAAAAAAAAUUAAUUUAAAACAAAAAAAAAUAAAAUUUUUCAAAAACAUGGCACCACAACCCAAGACACCAACUAAGAGUCCUAAAAUAGGAUCAUCAUAAAGUUUGAGAAAUACAAUUUAAGAACUAAUCUAGCAAGCAAAUACAGUUUCAUCCCCAUAUUUUCAAUCAAAUGCAUGUUAAUCUUUUAUUUGUGUAAUAAGCCGCGAAUUACUCGGAAUCCACUGUAGGCAGCAGCUCAUAGAUCACAGCCUUGAAAGCAAUGAUGACCUCAAAAUAUAUGAUUACUCUGUUUCUGAGAUGGCUGCCAGCUCUUGAUGAAGAUGCCUCCUUAGCAUACCUGUAUUCGUUCUCUUUGGAGCUGUGGAGCUAAGAGGAUUAGGAGGUGUACUUAACCUGUCUCCUUUCCCUUCCAGCAUCUGGACAACGAUUUUCAUGGAAGGACGGUCCACUGGGUUCCACUGGAUGCACCACAGUCCCACAAUGGCUAGCUUCUUCGCAAUUUCAGCAUCCCCUUCUUCCUCGAUGUGGAACCGCAGGUCUUCUCCUUCUUCUAUGAGAUUAUAAAUCCAUUCUGGGAAGUAUACUUGAUCACCAUUUUCUGCUGCUUCAUCAACAUUUUUCCUUCCACCAACCAUUUCUAACACCAACAUUCCAAAACUGUACACGUCUGCCUUGUAGGAGACAUUCCCAAAGUUUCUUGAGAACACUUCAGGUGCUAUGUAGCCGACGGUUCCCAGAGCUGUUGUCAUGGAAAUAGCACUUUUAUACUUGGAACACAACUUAGCCAGACCGAAAUCUGCAAUCUUGGGAUUGAAGUCAUUGUCCAGCAGGAUAUUAUGCGGUUUGAUGUCAAAGUGGAGGAUUGUUUGGUCACAACCCUGGUGAAGAUAUUCAAUCCCUUUGGCUACUCCGAGGGCAAUAUGAUGCAUCCUUUCCCAGCCAAGGAAAACAUUCUUGGCGUUUGCUGCAGAUAUGAACUUCUGCAGCGAAUCGUUUGGCAAAUACUCGAAAACCAGAGCUCGUCUAAAUCCAUCAGCACAGAAGCCAAUCAAGCGGACUACAUUGACAUGGUGAAUCCUAGCCAUUGUUCCCAUCUCGUUGACGAAUUCCUCUCCUUUUUCUGAUGAAUUGCUUAGAACCUUAACAGCCACCGGAAUCUCACUGGUUAGCUUUCCUUUGAACACAGUUCCAUAAGCUCCUUGCCCCAAUUCAUCCCUGAAUUGAUUUGUCAUCUUUUUGAGAUCAGCAUGGGAGUAUCUUGUGGGGUUCAUAGCUCUGUAAUCAUCCAAAAACCUUUCAACCUUGGCCUGAUAUUCCUCUUCUGAUUUUCUGAAGCUAUAGAUUUGGUAGACUGCAAUCACCAAAACCCCGAAAAGGAUGGAUCCUGUGGUUACACCUGCAUAUAUAAACAAGCCUUUUGAGUCAAGUAACUGAUCUUUUUUUUUUGGAAGCUAAGAGUUGGAGUAAAUUUGAGAAAAACUAACCUACAGUCAGUCGCUUUUUCCGUGCACCUGUAGAAGAUAAGAACCCCUGUUAAGUUCUAAUUUUCUGAAAGUUUCUAAAGUCAUGAUAAUAUCCUCUAUUUGUAGAAUCUAGAACGCUAAAUGCACAGGAAAACCACAUGUCAGUCAACUCACUAGUAGAUAGGACUUAGGUGUUCAAGGACACUUGCAAUACAUUAAUCAAAGUAGAGAUGUAGACUUAGUGAAGCAAGGAAUCAUAGAAAAUCAAGAUGCCAUGAACACAGAACAAUGAAAAGAAGACUUAAAGCUAAAGAUACCUUUUUCUGGUCUGGGCAAGCCAUAGCAUUCAGUUUCAAGCUCAGUGCUGCUAUUUUCCCUCAAUCCACAUAGUUUUCCUGUUGCUUCACAAGUUCCACAAUUGGGAUAGGACCACGACAGACGAAUAUCUUGUGGAACAGGUAGGUCGUACAUCUUGGUACAAGAUAGUAAUAACUCGUUGUCAUCAAUAGAUUGUUCUGAAUCAAUGGCAAGAACGUCAUAGUGGAGAGUACUUAUUAGACAAGCGAUCCUAGACAGAUAUCUUGCUUUAUUUAAAGAACAAUUGAAGGUAGUAAAAUCGACCUUGGAAAUCUUAAACUGUAUGUGAAACACAGACGAAUUGAAGUUGGAGUGUUGGCUUAGAAGGCAAACUUGGGGAUCUCUUGCAUAAAUAACUUGAUUUUUGUAGUCGAUCUUUUCUAUGUGGAGCUUCACUGCAGCUGGCAGCUCGAGCACUAUAUCGCCCAUCUCAUUACAAGACAGAUCAAAACCAGAAUAGCCACACUGUUCUGGCUGCCUAUCCUUGAUCCAGAAUGGAAAUCGGAUGUCGUGGUUCCCACAAGAUCCUGUGCAAUUUAGACUCACUCCAAGUUCUGCAAUGAACAUGAAAUAGAACAAGCAUAUAGCCUUUUUUGUUGAACCUCUCAUCAUUGCCUCCUAUGGUGAUAGAGUUUCGACCUAACAGUAUCUAGAUAUUGCAGAAACAAUAGUAAACUCAGAUGGGAGCAGCAAUGGUAACUCUGAUACCUUCUUUUUAUGACACCUGAAGGGUAACUCUGAUACCUUCGUUUUACUUGCCUAGAUUAAGUACUCAGAAUUGACCUCUCUUGCGUUCAAUGUAGUUCCAUGUCCACAAGGAUUAUUGCACCCUCACUUUCACAAAUUAUUGCCAAGAAGGUUAUCAUGUUAUCUAUUACAUGUUGACGUUUGUGGUGUUGAGAGUUGAUGGAUUUGUGGUUUAUAUCAAAGUAAUCUUUGAUAUUUCAAAGGAUGACUUGGUAAGUUUAAUAUACUGAAGAAACUCGUACAGACUCGCACUACCUUGUACUUAAUUUUUAUCAAAUAAAUAGGAAUGGUGAGAUUCGAAUUAUUGCUAAGAAGUUUAUCAUAUUGUCUAUAUGUUGAUGCUUGUGGUGUUGAGAGUUGAUGGAUUUGUGGUUUAUAUCAAAGUAAUCUUUGACAUUUCAAAGGAUCACUUGGUAAGUUUAAUAGGCUGAAGAAACUCUCGCAUUAGAAAACUAGCUUUAAGGUGUGGUGAGAUAUUUAGAAAUGAUUUAUAUUAUUUUUUAAUAUAUAUGUUAAAUUAAAAGUUUUUUGGAUUUAAAACUUGUACAGACUCGUAUUACCUUAUACUUAAUUUUUAUCAAAUAAAUAAGGAUGAUGAGAUUCAAAUUAUUGCCAAGAAGGUUAUCAUGUUCUCAAUUAUAUGUUGACGCUUGUGGUGUUGAGAGUUGAUGGAUUUGUGGUUUAUAUCAAAGUAUUAUUUGCUUUAUUAUUGUCACUUGGACAUUUUAAAGGAUGAGUUGGUCAUUUUAAUACGCUGAUGAAACAUUCACAAGAAACAAUUUAAUUUAAAAAGUUAAUCUGUUAUAUAAAUUUUUAAUAUAUAAUUUAUAUUAUUUUUUAAUAUGCAUGUGAAAGCUUUUUCAAUUUAAAAUUUAAACAGAUUUACACUAUUUUACGCUUAAUUUUUAUUAAAUAAAUAAAAAUGAUAAGAUUUAAAUUUAUAACCUCUUGAUCAUCAAGAGUUUGAUAUUAUAUUAAAAACUCAACUCAACUAUAAAAUUUAAGCUGUUAGGUUAAGUUUUAAAAUAUAAUUUAUAUUAUUAUUUAAUAUUACUGCUGUAACUGUUGUCUUUUAAAGACUUGAUAUCGUUUAUGGACUACACCCUCUUUCUCCACCCAUGGCUAGGCUCCUCUUUGCUGGCUCCAUAGCCUUACUGCUCCUGCUGCUAGUCUUCCAAAACAGCAACUGCAAGGAUACCAAUCUCUGUGCCCCUUCUUCAUGUGGAAAUCAUACUAUUAGCUACCCCUUUAGCCUAAACAGUGAUCCAUUAAACUGUGGAAACGCUCUCUAUACCCUCCAUUGCGAGAAAAAUACCUCCACAGUUUUGUAUUUAGACUCACGAAAAUACUACGUGCAGGCAAUCAACUACAACAACUUGACAAUCCGAGUGGUGGAUCCUGGUGUUAAAGAAAAUGAUUGCUCUUCUCUUCCUGAUUUUUCUUUAACAUAUGCAAGAUUAGGUAAUUCCAGAAGUGCAAAUACUUUUUCUACUUCAACAAAAGCAGGCUUAGAUUAUAUCAGAUUUCCAUAUACAUGGUUUCAAUACAAAGAGACAAGGCGGAAAUGGAUUCCCGAAUACAAGCCUCUCCCGUUAUCGCAGAUGAUGAUUUUUAUAAACUGUGCAAAUCCAGUGAAUUCUCCUCUGUACGUAGAAACCGGUACUUGCCUUAAUGGAGAAAAAUCUUCCAAUGUUUCACUCUUGAGGCGUUCUUAUGUGAACGUUGGUGGGAUGAAGGCUUCGGAUCUGAUGGAACUGUGCAGCUUAGAGAGGAUGACGUUGUUGCCAGUCAAGGAUUACAAGAACAUGCCCUAUAAGGAAAUCCACAGUCAGCUGGCAUAUGGGUUUGAGCUUUCAUGGCACAAUAGCAGGUGUGGAAGUUGUGCAUAUGGAUGCUACAUCGAUGAUUCGAACCGUAAACACUGCGUAGGUGGGCAAAUUUGAGUAACAAACUGUUCGUUUUUCUAUCUUCAACUUCUCUUUGCAUGAUUUCCCCAUUUCUGAAGCAUAUUGUAGUGCUGAGUAUCGUACGGUCAGCUCAAUCAAGCAAUCAUAGGCUGCAGAUGGUCAUAUCAAUUCGUGGUUUUCUUUUAUUCGACGAUAAAUGAUGUUUUUAUUCCAAUUUCUUUCAUCUUGUAGUAACCUCCGUUAUAUAGUUUCUCAAAUCACAAAUCUAAUCUUUGUAACUGAUCUCUUGGCCCAACAGGAGAUUCUUGGCGCUGGAUAAUCCUAGGUGAGGAUUCUAUCUCCCCACUUCUUCAUGCUUAAUUCUUAAUAAUAUCUCUAAUUAUUUGUUUACCUUCUCUGCAGCCGUGCUGGCGAAUGGAUCCGUGUUCAUUGGUAAGAACUCCCCUUAUUGAUUUUUUUUUUUUUGAAGUUAUGAUAUUGGAUCAUAUUUUAUUAGCUGAUACAAAAUGAUAAUUCCUAAAUGUCUACUCAUGCCAAGUUCUUCCUUAGCAGCACUCUUGGGGUUGCCUAAUGUCUGAGACAUACCUUUGGGUUAAGAGUAUGCUCUUAUGAAACUUGAUUGAACCUGAGUCGUCCAGUUUUGGUCUAGAUUUUAUAUGAUUUUUCAACUCGGAAAAAUAAUCCUAACGCCUAACCUAACACAUGCUGAGUAUUUAUCAAUCUCUGAUAUAUAUUAAUAAGAAAGAAUAACAAUUCCUCUCUAAUUUUUUUUCCUCUCAAAUUUCACACACAGCAAUACUUCAGGGGGCAAAAUUUAUCUUUGGGAGUCCGUUUGUGAUUGCAUUCUUGAUCUAUAAAUGGCGACGACGACAUCUAUCAGCAUAUGACACAAUUGAGGAAUUCCUACAGACUCAUAACAAUCUUAUGCCAGUCGUAAGGUAUUCUUAUUCCGCGAUUAAGAAGAUGACCAGAGGUUUCAAGGAAGAGUUGGGCAAAGGAGGUUUUGGUUGCGUGUACAAGGGAAAGCUUCGCAGUGGACGUUCUGCUGCGAUAAAAUUGCUGGGCAAAUCCAAGGCUAAUGGACAAGAUUUCAUCAAUGAAGUCGCUACCAUUGGAAGGAUUCGCCACACCAAUGUAGUUCAACUAGUUGGUUUUUGUGCUGAGGGAUCAAAGCGCGCUCUUGUAUAUGAUUUCAUGCCCAAUGGAUCUCUCAAUAAUUUCAUUUUUUCUCAAGAAAGAUCUGUCUCUUUAAGCUGGGAAAAACUGCAUGAGAUUUCCCUUGGAGUGGCUCAUGGCAUCCAAUAUCUACAUCGAGGUUGUGAGAUGCAGAUCCUACAUUUUGACAUCAAGCCUCACAACAUUCUUCUCGAUGAACAUUUCACUCCAAAAAUUUCUGACUUUGGACUUGCUAGGUUGUGCCCAGCAAAUGAGAGUCUUAAAUCUCUCACAGUGGCAAGGGGAACGAUAGGUUACAUGGCGCCAGAACUGUUCUACAAGAACAUCGGGCGCUUGUCAUACAAAGCUGAUGUUUAUAGCUUUGGAAUGUUGCUGUUGGAAAUGGCAGGCAGAAGAAAAAAUUUGAAUCCAUUGGCUGAAAGGUUGAGCGAAAUUUACUGGCCAGAUUGGGUUCAUGACCAAGUCUCUAAUGAGAAGGCUAUAGAAAUUGGAGAUGGUAGCACGGAAGAAGAACAAAAGAUAGUCAAGAAGAUGGUUAUUGCAGGGUUGCGGUGUAUACAAAUGAACCCUCUGAAUCGGCCCGCAAUGAACGAAGUUGUGGAGAUGCUUGAAGGAGACAUGGAAAGCCUGCAACUGCCUCCGAGACCAGUUCUAAAUCUAGAUGAGAAGCCAAUGAACACUUGUGGAGAGUCAUCUUCCAUGUCUGAUUAUUCUUCGGAAUCAGUCAGCUUGAUUGAAAAUGUAUAUAAUUAAGUGAUCUGCUAUGAAAUACUCUGCUCAUAUGCAGCAAUGAUACUAGUUCUUUGAUAGUUAUUACCAAUAUGAUAAACUGUAAUCAUCCACCUUAUUUCCUGGUUGUGUAACUAGCUAAGAGAGUCCUCGUUGGUAUUUUAUAAUCUUUAGAAAUAUUAUUUUAUUCAAAAUUAAUAAAAUCAAAUGAUAUACAUAUACAUACUAAGCAUAUUAUUAUAAAAUAGUGGAGUCCAUGUUAGAUAUCAGAUAACACCCGAAAAUGACUAGAUAAAAUCCAAAGGUGAUCAAAUGAAACCCAAAAGUGAUUACUGUAGGAGGAUAAGUCGCUACAUGUUGAUGUCUCUCUUAUCACCUAGAAAUCUUAUUGAUGAUCGUUAGGAAAACAUACAAUGAAUGUACAAAUACUUGAAACUUUAAAUAUCUUAAAAGUAUGUUUUCAAGUGUUAAAAAUUGUUUUUUAUUAAAAAAUAUAUUAAAAUAAUAUUUUUUUUUAUUUUAAAAAAAUUAUUUUUAAUAUUAAUAUUUCAAAACAAUUCAAAACCAUAAUAUUUCAAAAACAACAUAUCUCAGAAGCGUGGCACCACAACCCCGGACACAAGUACUAAAGUAGCACUACUAAAAAAGGGGGCUAUUAGCAUCGGAAUUUAGCAACGGAUAAUUCCGUUGCUAAAUUCAGUAACAGAUUUGCAACGGAUUAAACAUUUAUUAUUUUUUUAAUAUCAGCAACGGAUAUUUGCAACGGAAAAUCCAUUGCAAACUUUACAUUGAAUUUAGCAACGGAAAAUCCGUUGCUAAUUAAAAAAAUAAUUAUUUAAAUUUUAAUAUAAACCCAUUGCCUCGUUUCAUGUGUUGUUUUCUUUGUUAUUUACUCCACCUUUGUUGAGCAGCUCUAUCAUUCGAGAGAGAGAGAGAAAGAGAGAGAGAGAGAGAAAGAGAGAGCAUCAAGCUAUUUUACCAUAACAGGAAGGAGGGUAGGUCUGUAGAAGAUGUAUGGAGAUGGAAAGGAGGCAUCUUAGCAUCUGGGUUUGCUGAUCAGAGAAGGUAAGAAUAAUUAACAAGGAGAAGGGUUCGCUCUCAUUUUCUGUGCUCUCUUUGUCCUUGUUACUUCCCAUCCCAUAAUUUAUUUCCUUUCAAGCUGCUCCUUCCUUUUCCUUUUCAGAUGAGGAAUGGAUGAGAUGCACAAAAUUGCAAAAACCUAUGUACGUUAUGUUGGAUUUCAAAGCUGCUCCUUCCUUUUCCUUUUCAAAGCUGCUCCUGUCACAAGAACAAAACCAACCUUGCCUCUCCUGUCAACAUCCUCUCGAUCUUUCUUCUGUUAUGUUGGAUCUAUGUACGUUGUUUUUCUUCAUCUACUGGAGCAGUGGCUAGCAGCCACUCUAUUCUGGGGUGGAGCUUCAACAGAGGUGGACAAGCUCAAAGUCUUGACGUGUCACAGGUCACCAGCAGAUGGGGUUUGAGAUUUUGGAGCUCGAAGAAAUAAUUUUGAAAAAUGUUGCAGAUAGUAGAAAUUUUGAAAAAUAAUUUUGUACUACCUGCACAAAUACAUUGAUCGAUCUUUCUUGAGUCUUCAGUUUUUGGCGAAUAAACUAAGUCAGCGUUGAGUUAUUGCUGUACAGCUACUACUGGCAUUCCUAGCCUGUGCUGAGCAUGUCAUCAUUGCUGAUUUGCUGUCAUCCAGUAAUCCAGCUCUUUUAUCCGGACAAUCCACACAAAACUAAAUCCGUUGCUAAAAUGAGCAACGGAGAAUCCGUUGCUAGUUUUGCAACGGAAAAUCCGUUGCUCAUUGUAAACAACGGAUUUUCCGUUGCUGUGAAAUUAGCAACGGAUAAAUCCGUUGCUAAACAAUCAGCAACUACAGAUUUGCAUCUGAUUUUUACCGUUGCUGAAUCCGUUGCUAAUUUAUUUUAGCAACGGAUUUUAAUAUUAUUUGCAACGGAAUAGUCCGUUGCUAAUUACUAUAUUUUUUAGUAGUGUAGCAUCAUCAUAAAGUUUGAGAAAUACAAUUUAAAAACUAAUCUUGCAAGCAAAUACAGUUUCAUCCCCAUAUUUUCAAUCAAAUGCAUGCUAAUAUUUUGUUUGUGUAAUAAGCCGCGAAUUACUCGGAAUCCACUGUAGGCAGCAGCUCAUAGAUCACAGCCUUGAAAGCAAUGAUGACCUCAAAAUAUAUAUUUACUCUGUUUCUGAGAUGGCUGCCAGCUCUUGAUGAAGUUGCCUCCUUAGCAUACCUGUAUUCGUUCUCUUCGGAGCUGUGGAGCUAAGAGGAUUAGGAGGCGUACUUAACCUGUCUCCUUCACCUUCCAGCAUCUGGACAACAAUUUUCAUGGAAGGACGGUCCACUGGGUUCCACUGGAUGCACCACAGUCCCACAAUGGCUAGCUUCUUCGCAAUUUUAGCAUCCCCUUCUUCCUCGAUUUGGAACCGCAGGUCUUCUCCUUCUUCUAAGAGAUUAUAAAUCCAUUCUGGGAAGUAUACUUGAUCACCAUUUUCUGCUGUAUCAUCAACAUUUUUCCUUCCACCAACCAUUUCUAACACCAACAUUCCAAAACUGUACACGUCUGCCUUGUAGGAGACAUUCCCAAAGUUUCUUGAGAACACUUCAGGUGCUAUGUAGCCGACGGUUCCCCUAACUCUUGUCAUGGAAACAACACUUUUAUACUUGGAACACAACUUAGCCAGACCGAAAUCUGCAAUCUUGGGAUUGAAGUCAUUGUCCAGCAGGAUAUUAUGCGGUUUGAUAUCAAAGUGGAGGAUUGUUUGGUCACAACCCUGGUGAAGAUAUUCAAUCCCUUUGGCUACUCCGAGGGCAAUAUGAUGCAGCCUUUCCCAGCCAAGGAAAACAUUCCUUGCGUUUGCUGAAGAUAUGAACUUCUGCAGCGAAUCGUUUGGCAAGUACUCGUAAACCAGAGCUCGUCUGAAUCCAUCAGCACAGAAGCCAAUCAAGCGGACUACAUUGACAUGGUGAAUCCUAGCCAUUGUUCCCAUCUCGUUGACGAAUUCCUCUCCUUUUUCUGAUGAAUUGCUUAGAACCUUAACAGCCACCGGAAUCUCACUGGUUAGCUUUCCUUUGAACACAGUUCCAUAAGCUCCUUGCCCCAAUUCAUCCCUGAAUUGAUUUGUCAUCUUUUUGAGAUCAGCAUGGGAGUAUCUUGUGGGGUUCAUAGCUCUGUAAUCAUCCAAAACUCUUUCAACCUUGCCCUGAUAUUCUUUUUCUGAUUUUCUGAAGCUAUAGAUUUGGUAGACUGCAAUCACCAAAACCCCGAAAAGGAUGGAUCCUGUGGUUACACCUGCAUAUAUAAACAAGCCUUUUGAGUCAAGAGACAUGUUCUUUUUUGGAAGCAAUGUGUUGGAGCAAAUUUGAGAACUAACCUAAGUCAGUCGCUUUUUCCAUGCACCUGUAGAAGAUAAGAACCCUUGUUAAGUUCUAAUUUUCUGAAAGUUUCUAAAGUCAUGAUAAUAUCCUCUAUUUGUUGAAUCAAGAACGCUAAAUGCACAGGUAACCCCACUUGUCAGUCAGCUCACUAGUAGAUAGGACUUAUCUGUUCAAGGACACUUGCAAUACAUUAAUCAAAGUAGAGAUGUAGACAUAGUGAAGAAAGGAAUCAUAGAGAAUAAAGAUGCCAUGAACACAGAACAAUGAAAAGAAGACUUAAAGCUAAAGAUACCUUUGUUUUGUCUGUGCAUGCCAUAGCAUUCAGUUUCAAGCCCAGUGCUGCUAUUUCCCCUCAAUCCACAUAGUUUUCCUGUUGCUUCACAAGAUCCACAAUUGGGAUUGGACCAGGAGAGACGAAUAUCUUGUGGAACAGGUAGGUCGUACAUCUUGGUACAAGAUAAUAAUAACUCGCUGUCAUCAAUAGAUUGUUCUGAAUCAACGGCAAGAACGUCAUAGUGGAGAGUACUUAUUAGACAAGCGAUCCUAGACAGAUCUCUUGCUUUAUUUAAAGAACAAUUGAAGGUGGUAAAAUUGACCUUGGACAUCUUAAACUGUAUGUGAAACACAGACGAAUUGAAGUUGGAGUGUUGGCUUAGAAGGCAAACUUGGGGAUCUCUUGCAUAAAUAACUUGAUUUUUGUAGUCAAUCUUUUCUAUGUGGAGCUUCACUGCAGCUGGCAGCUCGAGCACUAUAUCGCCCAUCUCAUUACAAGACAGAUCAAAACCAGAAUAGCCACACUGUUCUGGCUGCCUAUCCUUGAUCCAGAAUGGAAAUCGGAUGUCGAGGCCCUGGUUCCCACAAGAUCCUGUGCAAUUUAGACUCACUCCAAGUUCUGCAAUGAACAUGAAAUAGAACAAGCAAAUAGCCUUUUUUGUUGAACCUCUCAUCAUUGCCUCCUAUGGUGAUAGAGUUUCGACCUAACAGUAUCUAGAUAUUGCAGAAACAAUAGUAAACUCAGAUGGGAACAGCAAUGGUAACUCUGAUACCUUCUUUUUAUGACAGCUGAAGGGUAAUUCUGAUACCUUCGUUUUACUUGCCUAGAUUAAGUACUCAGAAUUGACCUCUCUUGCGUUCAAUGUAGUUCCGUGUCAACAAUGAUUAUUGCACCCUCACUUUCUUUCCACUUUCGAAGGGAAAGAGGAGGGAAGCAGAGCUUGGACUUACCUGGUACACUUGGGUUGUUGAUCUUUGGCUUUUUUCACAAAUUAUUGCCAAGAAGGUUAUCAUGUUCUCUAUUAUAUGUUGACGCUUGUGGUGUUUAGAGUUGAUGGAUUUGUGGUUUAUAUCAAAGUAAUUCUUGACAUUUCAAAAGAUGAUUCGGUGAAUUUAAUAUGCUCUCUUGCAUUGAAAAACUAGCUUUAAGUGUGGUGAGAUAUUUAGAUAUGAUUUAUAUUAUUUUUUAAUAUAUAUAUAUUCAAUUAAAAGUUUUUUGUAUUUAAAACUUCUACAGACUCCCACUACCUUAUAUUUAAUUUUUAUCAAAUAAAUAAAAAUAAUGAAAUUUGAAUUAUUGCUACGAAGGUUAUCAUAUUGUCUAUAUGUUAAUGCUUGUGGUGUUGAGAGUUGAUGGAUUUGUGGUUUAUAUCAAACUAAUCUUUGACAUUUAAAAGGAUGACUUGGUAAUUUUAAUAUGCUGAUGGCACUUCACAAAACUUGUCUUUAGGUUUCUAUUUUGAGUAUGUUUGGCAGUAUGAUAACGAUUGCUUUUCAAAUAAUUUUUUGUAUCGAAAUGCAUUUUAAUGAUUUUUUUUUUAAAAAUUAUUUUUGAUAUCAGCACAUCAAAAUGAUACAAAACAUAUAAAUUAUAUUAAAUUUUAACAAAAAAAAACUUUUUUUGGAAACGCGGUGCAAUUCUUUUCACUGACUGGAAGAAUUGUUUGUGCACAACACCCUUUCUCCACCGAUGGCUAGGCACCUCUUUGCUUGCUACCUUGCCUUACUGCUCCCUCUGCUAGCCCCCCAAACCUGCAACUGCGAGGAUACCACUCUCUGUGCCCCUUCUUCAUGUGGCAACCAGACUAUUAGCUACCCCUUUAGCCUAAACAGUAGUGAUCCAUUAAACUGUGGAAACGCUCUCUAUACCCUCCACUGCGAGAAAAACACCUCCACUGCAUUGUGUUUAGACUCACGAAAACACUACGUCCAGGCAAUCAACUACAGCAACUUGACAAUCCGAGUGGUGGACGGUGGUGUUAAAUUAAAUGAUUGCUCUUCUCUUCCUAGUUUUACUUCGACAUAUGCAAACCUGGAUAAUUCCAUGAAUCCAUAUACAUCGUUUCAAUACAAAAAGACAGGGCCGAAAUGGGAUGCCCGUUUCGAGCGUCACUCAUUAUCGCAGAAGAUUAUUUUUAUAAACUGUGCAAAUCCAGUGAAUUCUCCUCUGUACGUAGACACUGGUACUGGCCUUAAUGGAGCGAAAUCUUCCAAUGCUUCCCUCUCAACGCAUUCAUAUGUGAAUAUUGGUGGCAUGAAGGCCUCGGAUUUGAUGGAACUGUGCAGCUUAGAGAGGAUGACGUUGUUGCCACCCAAGGAUUACAAGAACAUGUCCUAUAAGGAAAUUCACAGUCAGCUCGCAUAUGGGUUUGAGCUUUCAUGGCACAAUAGCAUGUGUGGAAGCUGUGCAUAUGGAUGCUACAUCGAUGAUUCGUACAAUACACACUGCAUAGGUGGGCAAAAUUGAGUAUAAACUGUUCGUUUUUCUAUCUUCAACUUCUCUUCGCAUGAUUUCCCCAUUUCUCAAGCAUGUUGUAGUGCUGGAUUUGUGGUUUAUAUUAAAGUAAUCUUUGACAUUUCAAAGGAUGACUUGUUAAGUUUAAUAUGCUGAACAAACUCUCGCAUUGAAAAACUAGCUUUAAGGUGUGAUGAGAUAUCUAAAUAUAAUUUAUAUUAUUUUUUAAUAUAUAUAUUAAAUUAAAAGUUUUUUGGACUUAAAAUUUGUACAAACACGCAUUACUUUGUGUUUAAUUUUUAUCAAAUAAAUAAGGAUGACGAGAUUCCAAUUAUUGCUAAGAAGUUUAUCAUAUUGUCUAGAUGUUGACGCUUGUGGUGUUGAGAGUUGAUGGAUUUGUAGUUUAUAUCAAAGUAAUCUUUGACAUUUCAAAGGAUGACUUGUUAAGUUUAAUAUGAUGAAGAAACUCUUACAUUGAAAAACUAGCUUUAAGGUGUGAUGAGAUAUCUAAAAAUAAUUUAUAUUAUUUUUUAAUAUAUAUAUAUAUAUAUAUGUUAAAUUAAAAGUUUUUUGGACUUAAAACUUGUACAGACUUGCACUACCAUGUGCUUAAUUUUUAUCACAUAAAUAAGGAUGACGAGAUUACAAUUAUUGCUAAGAAGUUUAUCAUAUUGCCUAGAUGUUGACGCUUGUGGUGUUGAGAGUUGAUGGAUUUGUGGUGUAUAUCAAACUAAUCUUUGACAUUUCAAAGGAUGACUUGGUAACUUUAAUAUGCUGAAGAAAAGCUCGCAUUGAAAAACUAGUUUUAAGGUGUGAUGAUAUAUCUAAAUAUAAUUUUUUUUUAUUAUAUAUGUUAAAUUAAAAGUCUUUUGGAUUUAAGACUUGUACAGACGCGCACUACAUUGUGCUUUAUUUUUAUCAAAUAAAUAAGGAUGGUGAGAUUUGAAUUAUUGCUAAGAAGUUUGUCAUAUUGUCUAGAUGUUGACGCUUGUGGUGUUUAGAGUUGAUGGAUUUGUGGUUUAUAUCAAAGUAAUCUUUGACAUUUCAAAGGAUGACUUGUUAAGUUUAAUAUGCUAAAGAAAGCUUGCAUUGAAAAACUAGUUUUAAGGUGUGAUGAGAUAUCUAAAUGUAAUUUAUAUUAUUUUUUAAUAUAUAUGUUAAAUUAAAAGUCUUUUCAACUUAAAACUUGUACAGACUCGUACUACCUUGUGUUUAAUUUUUAUUAAAUAAAUAAGGAUGGUGAGAUUUAAAUUAUUGCUAAGAAGUUUAUCAUAUUGUCUAGAUGUUGAUGCUUGUGGUGUUGAGAAUUGAUGAAUUUGUGGUUUAUAUCAAAGUAUUCUUUGGUUAAUUAUUGUCACUUUGACAUUUCAAAGGAUGAGUUAGUCAUUUUAAUAUGCUGAUGAAACAUUCACAUUGAAAAACUGACCUUUAGGUUUUAUCUUCUUCCAUGUUUCUCUUACUAUGGUAAAAGAAACAGUCUAAUUUAAAAGGUUAAACUGUUAUAUAUAUUUAUUAUAUAAUUUAUAUUAUUUUUAAAAAUAAAUGUGAAAGCUUUUUCAGCUUAAAAUUUAAACAGAUUUAAACUACCUCGCGCUUAAUUUUUAUUAAAUAAAUAGGAAUAACAAGAUUCAUAUUUAUAACCCCUUGAUCAUCAAGAAUUUAAUACCAUAUCAAAAACUCAACUCAACUGCAAAAUUUAAACUGGUAGGGUAAAUUUUAAAAUAUAAUUUAUAUUAUUAUUUAAUAUUAGUGCUCUAACUGUUGUCUUUAAAGACUUGAUAUCGUUUAUGGACUACACCCUCUUUCUCCACCCAUGGCUAGGCUCCUCUUUGCUGGCUCCAUAGCCUUACUCCUCCUGCUGCUAGUCUUCCAAAACAGUAACUGCGAGGAUAACAAUCCCUGUGCCCCUUCUUCAUGUGGCAACCUUACUAUUAGGUACCCCUUUAGCCUAGAAAGUGAUCCAUCUUACUGUGGAAAUCAUUAUAUUGGCUACCGCUUUAACUAUACCCUCCGUUGCGAGAAAAAUAUCUCUACAGUUUUGUAUUUAGACUCACGAAAAUACUACGUGCAGGCAAUCAACUACAACAACUUGACAAUCCGAGUGGUGGAUCCUGGUGUUAAAGAAAAUGAUUGCUCUUCGCUUCCUGAUUUUUCUUUAGCAUUUGAUAGCCUAGGUAAUUCCAUAAGGGCAUAUAAUUUGUUUACUUUAGCAUUUACAGCCUUAGAUUAUAUCGCAGUUGAUGAUUAUCCAUACACAUGGUUUCAAUACAAAAAGACAGGGUGGGAGUGGUUUCCCAAAUACAAGACUCUCCCGUUAUCGCAGAUGAUGAUUUUUAUAAACUGCGCAAAUCCAGUGGAUUCUCCUCUGUACAUAGACACUGGUACUUGCCUUAAUGGAGAAAAAUCUUCCAAUGCUUCACUCUUGAUGCGUUCUUAUGUGAAUGCUGGUGGGAUGAAGGCUUCGGAUCUGAUGGAACUGUGCAGCUUAGAGAGGAUGACGUUGUUGCCAGACAAGGAUUACAAGAACAUGUCCUUUAAGGAAAUUCACAGUCAGCUCGCAUAUGGGUUUGAGCUUUCAUGGCACAAUAGCAUGUGUAGAAGCUGUGCACAUGGAUGCUACAUCGAUGAUUCGUACAAUACACUCUGCAUAGGUGGGCAAAAUUGAGUAACAAACUGUUCGUUUUUCUAUCUUCAACUUCUCUUCGCAUGAUUUCCCCAUUUCUGAAGCAUGUUGUAGUGCUGAGUAUCGUACGGUCAGUUCAAUCAAGCUAUCAUAGGCUGCAGAUGGUCGUAUCAUUUGUCAUAAUAAUUCGUGGUUUUCUUUUAUUAGACGAUAAAUGAUAUUUUAUACCAAUGUUCAGAAAACUUAGUCAAACAAAACUAAGUUUCACUUCUUUAAUACAUUCAGAAAAAUUUAAUAACAACUUCUCGAUAUUAACCUCAAGAUUUGAAUUCAAAAGGUAAAACCAGGAUAAUUUUGCUAAGUCAUUCAUUUGUUUCUUCCCAAUUUCUUUCAUCUUGUAAUAACCUCCGUUAUAUAUUUUCUCAAAUCACAAAUCUAAUCUUUGUAACUGAUCUCUUGGUACAGACAGAGUUUCUUGGUUCAUGAUAACCUCAGGUGAGGAUUAUAUCUCCCCACUUCUUCAUGCUUAAUUCUUACUAUAAUAUCUCUAAAUUUGUUUACCUUCUCUGCAGCCGUGCUGCUAUAUGCAUCCAUCUUCAUUGGUAAGAACUCCCCUUAUUAAUUAUUAAUUUUUUUUUUUUUUGAAGUUACGAUAGUGGAUCAUAUUUUAUUAGCAGAUACAAAAUGAUAAUUCCUAAAUGUCUUCUUAUGCCAAGUUCUUGGGGUGGGGGGUUGCCUAAUUUUGAGACAUACCUUUUGGUUAAGAGUAUGCUUUUCUACAAAUCAUGAUGGUCUAGAUUUUAUAUGAUUUUUCAACUAGGCGAAAAAAUUCUAACACCAAACCUAACCAUGUUGUGUAUUUAUCUUAUAAUUAAUAAGAAAUAAUGAUUUCCGUCUUGAUUUCCCCCCAAAUUUCACACACAGCUACUUCAGGGGGCAAAAUUUAUCUUUGGGAGUCUGUUUGUGAUUGCAUUCUUGAUCUAUAUAUGGCGACGAAGACAUCUAUCAGCAUAUGAUACAGUUGAGGAAUUCCUACAGACUCAUAACAAUCUUAUGCCAGUCGUGAGGUAUUCUUAUUCAGAGAUUAAGAAGAUGACCGGAGGUUUCAAGGAAAAGUUGGGGGAAGGAGGUUUUGGUUGCGUGUACAAGGGAAAGCUUCACAGUGGACAUUCUGCAGCGAUAAAAUUGCUGGGCAAAUCCAAGGCUAAUGGACAAGAUUUCAUCAAUGAAGUCGCUACCAUUGGAAGGAUUCGCCACACCAAUGUAGUGCAACUGGUUGGUUUUUGUGCUGAGGGAUCAAAGCGCGCUCUUGUAUAUGAUUUCAUGCCCAAUGGAUCUCUCAAUAAUUUUAUUUUUUCUCAAGAAAGAUCUGUCUCCUUAAGCUGGGAAAAACUGCAUGAGAUUUCCCUUGGAGUGGCUCAUGGCAUCCAAUAUCUACAUCGAGGUUGUGAGAUGCAGAUCCUACAUUUUGACAUCAAGCCUCACAACAUUCUUCUCGAUGAACAUUUCACUCCAAAAGUUGCUGAUUUUGGACUUGCUAGGUUGUGUCCAACAAAUGAGAGUCUUAAAUCUCUCACUGCAGCAAGGGGAACGAUAGGAUACAUGGCGCCAGAACUGUUCUACAAGAACAUCGGGCGUGUCUCAUACAAAGCUGAUGUUUAUAGCUUUGGAAUGUUGCUGUUGGAAAUGGCAGGCAGAAGGAAGAAUCUGAACGCAUUGGCAGAGAAUUCAAGCCAGAUUUACUGGCCAUAUUGGGUUCAUGACCAAGUCUCUAAUGAGAAGGCUAUAGAAAUUGGAGAUGGUAGCACGGAAGAGGAAAAAAAGAUAGUCAAGAAGAUGAUUAUUGUAGGGUUGUGGUGUAUACAAAUGAACCCUGUAAAUCGGCCUGCAAUGAACGAAGUUGUGGAGAUGCUUGAAGGAGACAUGGAAAGCCUGCAACUGCCUCCGAAACCUGUUCUAAAUCUAGAUGAGAAGCCAAUGAACACUUGUGGAGAGUCAUCUUCCAUGUCUGAUUAUUCUUCGGAAUCAGUCAGCAUGGUUGAAAAUGCAUCUAAUUAAGUGAUCUGCUAUGAAAUACUUUGCUCAUGUGCAGGGGAAGGCUUGUCCCGUGAAUGAUACUAGUUCUUUGAAAGUUAAUUCCAUUAUGAUGAACUGUAUUGAGGCACCUUAUUUCCUGGUUGUGUAACUAGAAUCAUCAAAAUGCAUAUCAUAUUGAAUAGAAUUUAGUUCAAUAGAAUGCGAGUACAAAUUCAAGAAUAAAUAAAUACUCGGAAAAUAAAGCAACAUAUAUAAAUAUCCAAGAGAUUAACUAGUUGUACUCAUCAUAUAAUCAACAUAUAUUUUUAUUUAUAUUAUAUGCAUAUUAAAGAUUAUCUCACUCAACUGGAAAAUAUAGAAAUAAAAUGAAUAUUAGAUAAAAGACCAGAAAAUCUUAUUGAGGAUCGUUAGGAAAACAUACAAUAAAUAUACAAAAUAUCUACUAAAAAACAACCUAAAACAAUCCAAAUAAAAGAUUCCAAUGCAUAAAAUAAAACCAUGUUUAUCCUCCUGAGUUUAGGGACUAAAACAAUAAUUUUUCCAAAAUAGGAGCCAAAAUAUUUGCUGCCCCUUUAGCCUAAACAGUAGUGAUCCAUUAAACUGUGGAAACCCUCUCUAUACCCUCCAUUGCGAGAAAAAUACCUCCACAGUUUUGUAUUUAGACUCACGAGAAUACUACGUGCAGGCAAUCAACUACAACAACUUGACAAUCCGAGUGGUUGAUGCUGGUGUUACACAAAAUGAUUGCUCUUCUCUUCCUCAUUUUUCUUUAACAUAUGCAAGAUUAGGUAAUUCCAGAAGUGCAUAUAAUAUUUCUACUUCAACAAAUACAGGCUUAGAUUAUAUCAGAUUUCCAUAUACAUGGUUUCAAUACAAAGAGACAAGGCGGAAAUGGAUUCCCGAAUACAAGCCUCUCCCGUUAUCGCAGAUGAUGAUUUUUAUAAACUGUGCAAAUCCAGUGAAUUCUCCUCUGUACGUAGAAUCCGGUACUUGCCUUAAUGGAGAAAAAUCUUCCAAUGUUUCACUCUUGAGGCGUUCUUAUGUGAAUAUUGGUGGCAUGAAGGCCUCGGAUCUAAUGGAACUGUGCAGCUUAGAGAGGAUGACGUUGUUGCCAGCCAAGGAUUACAAGAACAUGUCCUUUAAGGAUAUUCAGAGUCAGCUGGAAUACGGGUUUGAGAUUUCAUGGCACAAUAGCAUGUGUGGGAGUUGUGAAUAUGAAUGCUACAUCUAUGAUUCGAACCUGACACGCUGCGCAGGUGGGCAAUAUUGAGUAACAAACUGUUCGUUUUUCUAUCUCCAACUUCUCUUGUCUCAAAAUAUAUGAUUACUCUGUUUCUGAGAUGGCUGCCAGCUCUUGAUGAAGACGCCUCCUUAGCAUACCUGUGUUCGUUCUCUUCAUUGCUGUGGAGCUAAGAGGAUUAGGAGGUGUACUUAACCUGUCUCCUUCACCUUCCAGCAUCUGGACAACAAUUUUCAUGGAAGGACGGUCCACUGGGUUCCACUGGAUGCACCACAGUCCCACAAUGGCUAGCUUCUUCGCAAUUUUAGCAUCCCCUUCUUCCUCGAUUUGGAACCGCAGGUCUUCUCCUUCUUCUAAAAGAUUAUAAAUCCAUUCUGGGAAGUAUACUUGAUCACCAUUUUCUGCUGUAUCAUCAACAUUUUUCCUUCCACCAACCAUUUCUAACACCAACAUUCCGAAACUGUACACGUCUGUUUCUUGAGAACACUUCAGGUGCUAUGUAGCCAACGGUUCCCCGAGCUGUUGUCAUGGAAAUAGCACUUUUAUACUUGGAACACAACUUAGCCAGACCGAAAUCUGCAAUCUUGGGAUUGAAGUCAUUGUCCAGCAGGAUAUUAUGCGGUUUGAUAUCAAAGUGGAGGAUUGUUUGAUCACAACUCUGGUGAAGAUAUUCAAUCCCUUUGGCUACUCCAAGGGCAAUAUGAUGCAGCCUUUCCCAGCCAAGGAAAACAUUCUUGGUGUUUGCAGAAGAUAUGAACUUCUGCAGCGAAUCGUUUGGCAAGUACUCGUAAACUAGAGCUCGUCUGAAUCCAUCAGCACAGAAGCCAAUCAAGCGGACUACAUUGACAUGGUGAAUCCUAGCCAUUGUUUCCAUUUCAUUGACGAAUUCCUCUCCUUUUUCUGAUGAAUUGUUUAGAACCUUAACAGCCACCGGAAUCUCACUGGUUAGCAUUCCUUUGAACACAGUUCCAUAAGCUCCUUGCCCCAAUUCAUCCCUGAAUUGAUUUGUCAUCUUUUUGAGAUCAGCAUGGGAGUAUCUUGUGGGGUUCAUAGCUCUGUAAUCAUCCAAAAACCUUUCAACCUUGUCCUGAUAUUCUUCUUCUGAUUUUCUGAAGCUAUAGAUUUGGUAGACUGCAAUGACCAAAACCCCGAAAAGGAUGGAUCCUGUGGUUACGCCUGCAUAUAUAAACAAGCCUUUUGAGUCAAGAGACAUGUUCUUUUUUGGAAGCAAUGUAUUGGAGCAAAUUUGAGAACAACUAACCUAAAGUCAGUCGCUUUUUCCGUGCACCUGUAGAAGAUAAGAACCCUUGUUAAGCUCUAAUUUUCUGAAAGUUUCUGAAGUCAUGAUAAUAUCCUCUAUUUGUAGAAUCAAGAACGCUAAAUGCACAGGGAACCCACUUGUCAGUGAACUCACUAGUAGAUAGGACUUAGGUGUUCAAGGACACUUGCAAUACAUUAAUCAAAGUAGAGAUGUAGACUUAGUGAAGCAAGGAAUCAUAGAAAAUCAAGAUGCCAUGAACACAGAACAAUGAAAAGAAAGCUUAAAGCUAAAGAUACCUUUCUCUGGUCUGGGAUUGAACCAGGAGAGACGAAUAUCUUGUGGAACAGGUAGGUCGUACAUCUUGGUACAAGAUAAUAAUAACUCGUUGUCAUCAAUAGAUUGUUCUGAAUCAACGGCAAGAACGUCAUAGUGGAGAGUGCUGAGACAAGGGAUUUUAGGCCGAGAUGUUGCGUUAUUUAAAGAGCAAUUGAAGAUGGUAAAAUUGUCCUUGGACAUCUUAAACUGUAUGUGAAACACAGAGGAUUUGAAGUUUGAGUGGUGGCUUCGAAGGCAACCUUGGGGAUCACUUGCCUAAAUAACUUGAUUUUUGUAGUCAAUCUUAUCUAUGUAGAGUUUCACUGCAGCUGGCAGCUCGAGCACUAUAUCGCCCAUCUCAUUACAAGACAGAUCAAAACCAUAAUAGCCACACUGUUCUGGCUGCCUAUCCUCUUGGGUCAGGAUUUCUCUGGUGAUGGGGGAGAGAACAAGGAAUUCUUGUUUUUUAUUAAUAAAAAAACAGAUCGAGUCGUCACCUAAUAUUUUGAUCAUUAGAUACUCUAACUAGUUUUAGAGUUUAGAUACGAGAACUAGUUGUGUAUAGAGAUGAUUUAUCAUCCCUUGUACACCUUACGUAAAGUAAACUGUAUUGUUUAUUUGUCUGAUAUAAACUAAGAUAUUGUUGUGUUUUUUAAUUGUUGAUCUGUCUAAGGUUUAAGAAAAGUUCUUCUUGAUAACAAGGUCCUUAUCUUAUUAGGUUAAAUCCUAGUAAUUCUAAAAUCAAAAUGUAAAAAUAAAAGAAAGUGUCUUUUUAUUCAAUAUCAUGAAUGCAUCUUAUGUUUAAGUUCACAGUCUCAUUUAUUAAAAAGAAACAAAAUAAUUUUUUUAGGUAUUUUUAAAAUAUAGACCAAGUUCUCAAGACUUUAAUAAACCAGUUAUCAAAUUCAAUGCGCAUGUAAAAUAAAAAGACUAUUUUUUGUGAUUUCUUAAUAUGCUAUAAUAUGCAAAUAUAAUUUAUUUUUGAGAUAUUUGACCAUUUGCACACAAAUAAAAAUAUAUUUUUGUAUUUUUCUUUGAAUAAUAGUGACACGAUCAAAAGAUUGAUGUCUUAUCCCAAGUGCAGGAGUGCCGAAGUAAUAAAUAACCUAGCAAGACCGGUGUCGAAUCACAUGGAGGUUAACUAUAUAAAUUAACAAGAAGAAGAAGAAGAAGAAGAAGAAGAAGUUAAAGAGGACUUUGAGAUUGUAAGAUUAACAUGAGGUUUGAACAAUGAUAAAAACAAGUGUCAGGUUAAAGGAUCCACUAAUAGUAUUAGAUAUAAGUAAAAGUAUAAACUCUUUAUAAAUUAUUAACAUGAUCAUAUUAAUCAUUUUAUUUAUGUAAUACCAUAUUUAUAAAUUUUAUCAAGUAUUCAUGAUGUUAACUUAUGUUGACAGUAAAUCAAGUUCCUCUUAUAAUAACGAUGUCGACUGAAAGAUCAAGUAUUUGAUAUACCAAGUGUUAUACAACACAAAUCUAGAUUAACCAUUUAACAAGUAAGGUAUUAAGAAUUAAUAAGAUAAAAAUGAUAAGACAUGUUAAUAGUAAUGUGAAUUAAUAUUUUGGUUCUACUGGGCAUUCAAGAGUUGAUAUAUAUAUAUAUAUAACUGUUCUUAAUAAUUCACAUUUUGUUAUGUUUUGAUUGUUGGUGUUGAUGAUGGAGAGAAAAAAAACUUUGAGAAGAGCAGGGUAAAGGGAGAAGGAUGAGCUCCGAGGUAGUGUAGACUAAAUUGAUUGGUCGCGCUUCACUGUGGGCUGGGUUAAUUUCUUUGUAGCUGAUAAAAACGAUGUUAAAGCUUGACCACUGUCUUCUAAAAAGUGGAAAAAAAUUAAUGACUCAAACAUAAUCGAAAAAAAACUAAAAAAUAAUAAUCUUUAAACUGAAUCAAACUCUAAAAUAAUAAAAUUGAAAAAAAAAAUCUAUACAAAAAAAUACUAAAAAAUAAAAUACUAGUAAGAGAUCAUCAAAAUAUGUCAAACCUUAAAUAUUAAAAAAAUAUUGAAUUCAAGGAUUAAAACAAAUUCAUAAAAGAAUCCAAAACAUAAAAAAAAAAUUCAAUUUUCAAUCAAUUCAAUGAUUAUAGAUGAAAAUUUUAAAAAUAAUUAAAAAUUAUUGAAGUGAACCCAGUCCAAUCUUCCAAUUUGUAAUAGAUCAUGAGACCAGAUCACAACUUAAAAGAAAAACAAGAAAAAAUAAAAAUGUAAAAUUCUAAAUCAACCAAAAUAAUUAGGGAUAAACAUGAAAAAAAAUGAUUUUAAAAUGUAGAUUUGAAAAGAAAAAAACCAAAUUUGACUAAAAAAAACAAAUCAUAAGGGAUGAAAUUAGAAAAUAAUUUCAAUUAAGAAAAUGAUAAAAACAACAAAAAACAACAAUAAAAAAUAAGUAUUAUAUUUGAUAUAAAAAUAAAAUGUCAAGAUAUGAAAUUUAAAAACAAAUUAAUACAAUAAAUGAUUGAAAACAAAAAAACAUUAUAAUUAGAAGAAUAAAAAUCAAAUCUAAUAUAAAAAUAAAGUAUAAAUGGAUGCAAUUAAAAAAAUAAUUAAUUUAAUGAAUAAUUCAAAACCAAAUAAAUUUGAUUAAUUUAAUGAACAACACUAACAGGAAAGAUCCCGCCGGGUUGGUUGUGCUCCAUUCACCGGUGAACGUCACCGGCCACACAAUCCCGACCAGUGGUUUUGAAAGGCAGAACCUUAGAAACCCAAAAUCGGAAAAUUUGAAUCACCCUCUCUACUCCUUCCUAAGAAAAUCCCUCCUUACAAUCCCCCCUCUCUUUAUCCCAGCAAAGACAAGAGAACAAAAUGGUGGAAGAGAAGUCACGCAUCUGAGCAUCAAAAGCAAGGAAAGAAAAAACCAAAAAUAGUCUUUCAUCCAAAAACCAUAAGGACGAGAAUAAAAAUGGACCCCAUGAAAUAUUUGUCUACAGUGUUCCGACUUGGGACAGCGUCAACAAUUUCACCUAAAAACAGCGCAUUAUUUCUUUCUUGCCCUCCUACCUCCACAUCUUUUUUCUGAAUAUUUCCAUAACCUGCGAACUUAGCCAUCCUACGAAGAAAAACGCUUUCCUUUUAUUGUAAUUCUUUUAUUACUUACAAGUGGGGCCAAUGGCAAAUGGAGUAAAUUAGUGAUUGACUAGCCUUAUUCCCAAGCUCUGCUGUGGGUGAAGUUUCAUGUUAAUUUUUAACGCAAGAACACAAAACGAUGGAUGCAUUUUGGGGUCUUCGGAAUUAUCUAUGUUUAAUAAAAUAAAAUAAAUAAAUAAGAGAUAUUAACACUAAUUAAAUAAUAGAAUGAAAAUUUAAUCAUGUAAUAAAAGCAAAAAAUAAAUACAAAUGUAAAUUCUUGAUACACGUGCCGUUUAAAAUGCAUCAACACUUUCUACAGGCAGGCACAUAUAGCUUUUUAAAAUUAAAUAUUAUUUUAUUAUUAUAAAAUACAAUAAUAUCUUGAUAAAAAAAUAAUAAAUAACUAACUUGAAAAGACUUAAAUAUCCCUUGAUCAAAAACAUUGAUUUUGUUCACUUAAAAGAGCAUUUUAGUAAUCUAACCAUAACUUAAAAUAUAAAAGACUGAUAAUACCCUCAAACUAAAAACAUAUAAACCAACAAUACCUUCUUAAGCAAGAACACCUGUUAUUUAAAUGAGAGGUUAAAUAAUAAUAAUUUUACUAUUAUAAUACACAAUAAAAAGUGUAUUUCGCUGCUCCAAGACCCCUUCCGAUUCAGUAUAUAUGUUAUAUAUUUAUGCAAUGUAAAUAUACUUGGUUGCCUAUGGUAAAUUAAAGGUACAAUACGGCUGCCCUUACUGAAUAUAUUUAAUCAAAUUUAAGACAAUCAUCAUAAAACAAGGUACGUAUGGCUGCCCUUAGUGAAUUAAAGGUCCUUUUUGGAGGCCAAGAUCACACUAUACAUUCCGAAAUGACUAUAAGUACAUAUCUAAAAUAAAAAUCGAAGUGCUUUGUCACUAAUCAGUAUAGAAAGAAUAGUAAUGAAAAAUUCAGAGGUAUAUUUUAAUUGAUUAUAUUUUAAAUUUAUGUUUUAGAAAUUAUCAGUUUAAAUCUCAAAAAUUUAAACAAAAUUUCCAUGAUCCAUGCAGUAGUUGUAAUGUAUGAUUUACAUUAUUUUUCUUUUUUAUCAAAUGUUAAUAGUUUCAUCAAGGCCGUAGGUUCAUGCUAGAUGCGUUAAGCCCAAUGCUUUGGUCUUAAUAAAUUGGCCGCGUUAAAAAACAAAGUUGAUCCAAAAAUAUAUUUUAAAAAUAUUAUGUAACACAGGACAAAUCAUGCAAGUUCAAUAAUUAUGAAAAAUAUUGUUUUAUUUUUUUCUUUAAAAAGGUAAAGUGAACAAUUAAUGUGAAAGAUGGAGUGGUUAAAUUGUUUUUUAAAAUGUUUUUUAUUUAUCAAGAUCCUGAGCAAUUUAGACUCACUCCAAGUUCUGCAAUGAACAUGAAAUAGAACAAGCAAAUAGCCUUUUUUGUUGAACCCCCCAUCAUUGCCUCCUAUGGUGAUAGAGUUUCGACCUAACAGUAUCUAGAUAUUGCAGAAACAAUAGUAAACUCAGAUGGGAACAGCAAUGGUAACUCUGAUACCUUCUUUUUAUGACAGCUGAAGGGUAAUUCUGAUACCUUCGUUUUACUUGCCUAGAUUAAGUACUCAGAAUUGACCUCUCUUGCGUUCAAUGUAGUUCCGUGUCAACAAGGAUUAUUGCACCCUCACUUUCUUUCCACUUUCAAGGGAAAGAGGAGGGAAGCAGAGCUUGGACUUACCUGGUACACUUGGGUUGUUGAUCUUUGGAUUUUUUCACAAAUUAUUGCCAAGAAGGUUAUCAUGUUCUCUAUUAUAUGUUGACGCUUGUGGUGUUUAGAAUUGAUGGAUUUGUGGUUUAUAUCAAAGUCAUCCUUGACAUUUCAAAGGAUGACUCGGUGAAUUUAAUAUACUGAUGAAACUCUUGCAUUAAAAAACUGGCUUUCAGGUGUGGUGAAAUAUUUAGAUAUGAUUUAUAUUAUUUUUUUAAUAUAUAUGUUCAAUUAAAAGCCUUUUGUGCUUAAAACUUGUACAGACUCCUACUACCUUAUAUUUAAUUUUUAUCAAAUAAAUAAGAGUGAUGAGAAUCAAAUUAUUACUAAGAAGGUUAUCAUAUUGUCUAUAUGUUGACCCUUGUGGUGUUGAGAGUUGAUGGAUUUGUGGUUUAUAUCAAAGUAAUCUUUGACAUUUCAAAGGAUGACUUGGUAAGUUUAAUAUGUUGAUGAAACUCUCGCAUUGAAAAAUUGGCUUUCAGGUGUGGUGAAGUAUCUAGAUAUUAUUUAUAUUAUUUUUUAAUAUAUAUGUUCAAUUAAAAGCCUUUUGUGCUUAAAACUUGUACAUACUCGCACUACCUUAUGCUUAAUUUUUAUCAAAUAAAUAAGAAUGGUGAGAUUCGAAUUAUUUCUAAGAAGGUUAUCAUAUUGUUAGAGCGUGUUUGAGAGUGUGGUUAUUGUUGCUUUUCAAAGUAUUUUUCACUUAGAAAAGCAUGCCAAUAAUAUUUUUUUUUUUUAAAAAAAUUAUUUUUGAGAUCAGCACAUCAAAAUGAUUUGAAAACAUCAAAACAUACUAAUUCAAAGCAAAAAAAAAAAAUUCAAUAUUUUUGAAAAAUGCUUUUCUACCGCACUACCAAACGACCUCUAUAUGUUGACGCAUAUGGUGUUGAGAGUUGAUGGAUUUGUGGUUUAUAUCAAAGUAAUCUUUGACAUUUCAAAGGAUGACUUGGUAAAUUUAAUAUGCUGAUGAAACUCUCACAUUGAAAAACUAGCUUUAAGGUAUGAUGAAAUAUCUAGAUAUGAUUUAUAUUAUUUUUUAAUAUAUUUGUUUAAUUGAAAGUCUUUUGGGCUUAAAACUUGUACACACUCGCACUAUCUUAUGCUUAAUUUUUAUCAAAUCAAUAAGGAUGGUGAGAUUCAAAUUAUUGCUAAAAAGGUUAUCAUAUUUUCUAUAUGUUGACACUUGUGGUGUUGAGAUUUGAUGGAUUUGUGGUUUAUAUCAAAGUAAUCUUUGACAUUUCAAAGGAUGACUCGGUAAAUUUAAUAUGCUGAUGAAAUUCUCGCAUUAAAAAAACUGGUUUUAAAGUAUAGUGAGAUAUCUAGAUAUGAUUUAUAUAUAUAUAUAUAUUUUAAUAUAUAUAUAUAUAUAUAUAUAUAUGUUUAAUUAAAUGUCUGUUGAGCUUAAAAUUUGUACAAAUUCACACUACCUUAUGUUUAAUUUUUAUAAAAUAAAUUAGGAUGGUUAGAUUUAUAUUAUUUAAUAUUACUGCUCUAACUGUUGUCUUUAAAGACUUGAUGGAUUGUUCAUGGACUACACACUGUUUCUCCACCCAUGGCUAGGCUCCUCUUUGCUGGCUACAUAGCCUUACUGCUCCUGCUGCUAGUCUUCCAAAACAGCAACUGCAAGGAUACCAAUCCCUGUGCCCCUUCUUCAUGUGGCAACCAGACUAUUAGCUACCCCUUUAGCCUAAACAGUAGUGAUCCAUUAAACUGUGGAAACGCUCUCUAUACCCUCCACUGCGAGAAAAAUACCUCCACAGUUUUGUAUUUAGACUCACGAAAAUACUACGUGCAGGCAAUCAACUACAACAACUUGACAAUCCGAGUGGUUGAUGCUGGUGUUGAAGAAAAUGAUUGCUCUUCGCUUCCUGAUUUUUCUUUAGCAUUUGAUAGCCUAGGUAAUUCCAUAAGGGCAUAUAAUUUUUUUACUUUAGCAUUUACA